UUGGUUUGCAUCUGUAAAGGGUCAACUCCCAAAAGAUAGCCUCGUUGCUCACCCCCGCCAGAUAUGAGGGCGUUACACUUUGUUACAGGUGGCUCCCGCCUUAAAUUACCUACUUCGCCGCCGUCAAGAUGUCAGAUUCCAACAAACUUCACUCUUUCUUAUUCCAGAAAAUACAUGGUUAAAAUGUCGAUUAACUCAACCCCAUCUGGGUCAGCAAUCCCAAUUGACACCAUUGUUUUGGGUUGUGGGAUGGUGGCAUUGGACUACUUGGUUACUGUUGAUUCUUAUCCUAAGCCUGAUGAUAAGAUUCGUAGCACCAGCUUUCAGGUUCAGGGAGGUGGGAAUACUGGGAAUGCUAUGACGUGUGCAGCUCGUUUGGGUUUAACUCAAAGAAUUAUAUCUAAGGUUGCGGAUGACUCUCAAGGGAAAAGAAUACUGAACGAGCUAGAAGCUGAUGGCAUUGAUACAUCUUUUAUUGUGGUGUCCAAAGGGGGCCAUUCAACAAUCUCUUAUGUUAUUGUUGACAGUCAAACGAAAACACGAACUUCCAUCUACACACCAGGGUAUCCACCCAUGGUAGCUGAUGAUUUGCCAGACUCGAGUUUGUCGUCUGCAUUGGAUGGUGUGAGGCUUGUCUAUACUGAUGGAGUACUUCAUGAAGCUGCUUUAGUUGUGGCCCAAGAGGCACAUCAAAGGAGUAUACCUAUUGUGAUUGAUGCAGAAAGAAAAAUAGAAGGGUUGGAUGAGCUUCUACACUUGGCAACCUACAUUGUUUGCUCCACAAGAUUUCCACAGAUAUGGACCGAGGCUCCUUCUAUAGCAGGUGGACUAAUUUCCAUGCUUUUAAAGUUGCCAAGUACCAAAUUUGUAAUUGCUACAUUGGGAGAAGAUGGCUGCGUAAUGCUAGAAAGAGCAGAAACUGGGGAUAUCCAGCCUGAAGAAGUUGAUAUUGAUGACUUGUUUGAAAAAAUGAAGCAGAGUAUUGAUACUACCUCAACCCUGCCAACAUGCAAAACCUUGGAUAUUGCAAAGCUGCACGCGAAAGGGAUUGGGACUGUGUGUGGUAGGCUGCUCGUGGGAACAGCUGAAAAGAUACCAUUCUCGGAAAUAGUUGAUACAACUGGUGCUGGAGAUGCAUUUGUUGGAGCAGUUCUUUAUUGUACGUGAAAUAAUAGUAUAGUUAGUAUACUAUGCGCCUUUUGUCAACCGCUCUUGCUGCAACUGUUCUUACUUUAGUAGUGUGGCAUCUCCGCUGUUCUCCCUAUGCUUGUCGCUGCUAGGGAUUUAAAGUGUCUAAACAAUUUCUGUUUCAAUUAUGCUUCCAUGAAGUCCGUCUUGGUUCAUUUAGUAGCUCUCUCUGCUAAUUUCCCACCUGAAAAGAUGCUGAUGUUUGCUUCUCAAGUG
Solanum tuberosum (potato) is the source of this 1404-nucleotide RNA transcript. It is a transcript of the gene named ketohexokinase-like, with no coding region annotated. The record is from RefSeq and is a predicted model, not a curated record. The transcript is spliced from 12 exons. NCBI's taxonomy places the organism in Eukaryota, Viridiplantae, Streptophyta, Magnoliopsida, Solanales, Solanaceae.